AUCGAUCCGGAAAUGUCCGCAAGCACGACCAAUGGCGGAUGGACGAGCCGCGGCUCGCGAAAGCGCG
RNAcentral lists this small RNA (67 nucleotides) under Sinorhizobium meliloti 2011. RNAcentral describes it as "putative ncRNA". The record is from RNAcentral. Lineage: Bacteria; Pseudomonadati; Pseudomonadota; Alphaproteobacteria; Hyphomicrobiales; Rhizobiaceae.